RNAcentral lists this microRNA precursor (86 nucleotides) under Oryza brachyantha (malo sina). RNAcentral describes it as "mir-395 microRNA precursor family". It matches the Rfam family "mir-395 microRNA precursor family". From Rfam's summary of the family: mir-395 was identified in both Arabidopsis thaliana and Oryza sativa computationally and was later experimentally verified. mir-395 is thought to target mRNAs coding for ATP sulphurylases. The record is from Rfam by way of RNAcentral. Lineage: Eukaryota; Viridiplantae; Streptophyta; Magnoliopsida; Poales; Poaceae.
GUAUUAUCAUGAGUUCCCUUCAAGCACUUCACGUGGCAUAUUUUCAAGGCCUAUCGUGAAGUGUUUGGGGGAACUCUUGGUAUUAC